UAAGAUAUUAAGAGUAUAUGGUGGAUGUUUUGGCGUUUGGAAGCGAUGAAGGACGUAGUAGACUGCGAUAAGCCUCGGUGAGUUGUCAACAAACGUUGAGCCGGGGAUUUCCGAAUAGGGCAACCGACUAUGCUGGAGGCAUAGUAUCCAUACCUGAAAAAAUAGGGUAUGGAGGUGAACGAGGCGAAUUGAAACAUCUUAGUAACCUCAGGAAGAGAAAGAAAUUUCGAUUACCUAAGUAGCGGCGAGCGAAAGGGUAAGAGCCUAAACUGAAUGUACGUGAUAGGUGCUGGCCGUUGUGCAUUCGGGGUAGUGGGAGUUAGCGUUGUGGGUCAGUGACCACAGUAAGAGUUACCAAGGUUAUAUCUAGAUGAAGUGCUUGGAAAGGUACGCCACAGAGGGUGAAAGCCCCGUAAUCGAAAGGUAUGGCUCUCUUAUGCUAGCCACCCGAGUAGUACCGGACACGUGAAACCCGGUGUGAAUCAGGGAGGACCACCUCCUAAGGCUAAAUAUUCCCAGACGACCGAUAGUGAAGAAGUAAGGCGACUGAAAAAUGAAAAGCACCCCGUUGAGGGGAGUGAAAUAGAACCUGAAACCAUAUACUUACAAGCGGUAGGAGCACAAUACUAUAUACUAGAGCGCGGUAGGCGCGACAAGUGUUGUACAUGCGUGUGCAGCAGUUGGGAUAUAGGAAGUGUGACUGCGUGCCUUUUGCAUAAUGAUCCGGCGAGUUACCGUAUGCGGCAAGGUUAAGUGUCUUCGACACGGAGCCCAAGCGAAAGCGAGUGUGAAUAGCGCGACAAAGUCGUAUGUGGUAGACCCGAAAGCCAGUGAUCUAACCAUGGCCAGGGUGAAGCGGGUGUAAAAGCUCGUGGAGGCCCGAAUGCACUGAUGUUGAAAAAUCAGGCAAUGAGCUGUGGUUAGGAGUAAAAGUCUAAUCAAACUGGCCAAUAUCUGGUUCUCUCCGAAAUAGCUUUCGGGCUAGCCUUUCGUGGUAGCAUGUGGGGGUAGAGCGACUGAAUAGGUCAGUGGGGGCCACCAGCCUACCCUACUUAAUCAAACUCCGAAUACCACAUGUGGAAUCGAAGGAGUCAGACUAUGGGGGAUAAGCUCCUUAGUCAAGAGGGAAACAGCCCAGACCGCCAGCUAAGGUCCCGAAGUUAAGCUAAGUUUAAAGGAGCUGGGAGUGCGAUGACAGCUAGGAUGUUGGCUUAGAAGCAGCCACCAUUUAAAAAGUGCGUAAUAGCUUACUAGUCGAGCAUUCCUGGGCCGAAAAUUGAAGGGAAUAAGCUUAACACCGAAGCUGCGGAUCCGUAAGGAUGGUAGGAGAGCGUUCCAUAAUUAGGACUGAAGGUAGACCGUGAGGACUACUGGACAAUAUGGAAGUGAUUAUGCCGGAACGAGUAACGAUAAAAUGAGUGAAAAUCUCAUUCGCCGAAAACCUAAGGUUUCCUGGGGAAGGCAAAUCCGCCCAGGGUUAGUCGGCACCUAAGGCGAGGCCGAAAGGCGUAGUCGAUGGAUAACAGGUUAAUAUUCCUGUACCACUUAUGUAGCAUUUGAGCAACGGGUUGACGAAGGAGGCUAGGUUAACCUCGUGGAUGGUCGAGCGGGGCCAAGCGUGUAGGGAGAGAGUCUAGGAAAAUCCGGAUUCUUGUUAAUCCUGAGACGUGAUGGGGGACAAUAGUCUGUAGUAACCGAUGCCAUGCUUCCAAGAAAAUUCUCGUAAAGCGAGUUGCAUAAGUGACCGUACUAAAACUGACACAGGUAGGUGAGGAGAGAAUCCUAAGGCGCUCGAGAUAACCUCUGUUAAGGAACUCGGCAAAUUGACCCCGUAACUUUGGGAGAAGGGGUACCCUUGAUGGUGAAGGAUGUACAUCCGGAGCUGUUGGGGGGCGCAGUGAAAAGGCCCGGGCGACUGUUUACUAAAAACACAGGUCUCUGCCAAGACUUAAAGUCGAUGUAUAGAGACUGACGCCUGCUCAGUGCCGGAAGGUUAAAGGGAGGGGUUAGCUUCGGCGAAGCUCUGAACUAAAGCCCCGGUUAACGGCGGCCGUAACUAUGACGGUCCUAAGGUAGCGAAGUUCCUUGUCGGGUAAGUUCCGACCUGCACGAAUGGCGUAACGACUUGGGCACUGUCUCAACAGAGGACUCGGUGAAACUGUAGUAGCGGUGAAGAUGCCGCUUACCCGCAGCAAGACGGAAAGACCCCGUGAACCUUUACUGCAGCAUGGUAUUGGGUUUUGGUAUAGCUUGUGUAGGAUAGGUGGGAGGCUUUGAAGUGGAGACGCAAGUCUUUGUGGAGCCGCAAGUGAAAUACCACCCUUGUUAUACUAGAAUUCUAACUGGUGUCCGUAGAUCCGGUACCAGAACAGUGCUUUGUGGGCAGUUUGGCUGGGGCGGUCUCCUCCUAAAAGGUAACGGAGGAGUUCAAAGCUACUCUCAGCACGGUCGGCAAUCGUGCGUAGAGCGUAAAGGUAGAAGGGUAGUUGACUGUGAGACUUAUAAGUCGAGCAGGUGUGAAAGCAGGACUUAGUGAUCCGGUGGUCCCGAGUGGAAGGGCCAUCGCUCAACAGAUAAAAGGUACUCCGGGGAUAACAGGCUUAUCGCCUCCAAGAGUUCAUAUCGACGAGGCGGUUUGGCACCUCGAUGUCGGCUCAUCGCAUCCUGGGGCUGAAGAAGGUCCCAAGGGUUUGGCUGUUCGCCAAUUAAAGCGGUACGCGAGCUGGGUUUAGACCGUCGUGAGACAGGUCGGUCCCUAUCUGCUGUGGGUGUAGGAGAUUUGAGAAGGUUUGCCCUUAGUACGAGAGGAUUGGGGCGGACGAACCUAUGGUGCUCCAGUUGUCGCGCCAGCGGCAUAGCUGGGUAGCUACGUUCGGAAAGGAUAAGCGCUGAAAGCAUAUAAGCGCGAAGCCUUCUUCAAGACGAGAUCUCCCUGAAGGGUCCUGGAAGACUACCAGGUUGAUAGGCUGGAUGUGUAAGUGCAGCAAUGUACUCAGCUAACCAGUACUAAUAUCCCGUUCGACUUAUC
Molecule: ribosomal RNA, 3028 nt
Filed under: Candidatus Uabimicrobium amorphum
Lineage: Bacteria; Pseudomonadati; Planctomycetota; Candidatus Uabimicrobiia; Candidatus Uabimicrobiales; Candidatus Uabimicrobiaceae
Description: Planctomycetes bacterium SRT547 23S ribosomal RNA
Rfam family: Bacterial large subunit ribosomal RNA
Source: RNAcentral